AGGGGUAAGGCUGGCGGCGUGCCUAAUACAUGCAAGUAGAACGCUGAAGCUUGGUGCUUGCACCGAGCGGAUGAGUUGCGAACGGGUGAGUAACGCGUAGGUAACCUGCCUCUUAGCGGGGGAUAACUAUUGGAAACGAUAGCUAAUACCGCAUAAAAGUCGAUAUCGCAUGAUAUUGAUUUGAAAGGUGCAAUUGCAUCACUAAGAGAUGGACCUGCGUUGUAUUAGCUAGUUGGUGGGGUAAUGGCCUACCAAGGCGGCGACGGGUAGCCGGCCUGAGAGGGUGGACGGCCACAUUGGGACUGAGAUACGGCCCAGACUCCUACGGGAGGCAGCAGUGGGGAAUAUUGCACAAUGGGCGCAAGCCUGAUGCAGCGACGCCGCGUGGGGGAUGACGGCCUUCGGGUUGUAAACUCCUUUCGCUAGGGACGAAGCUUUUGUGACGGUACCUAGAUAAGAAGCACCGGCUAACUACGUGCCAGCAGCCGCGGUAAUACGUAGGGUGCGAGCGUUGUCCGGAAUUACUGGGCGUAAAGGGCUCGUAGGUGGUUUGUCGCGUCGUCUGUGAAAUUCCGGGGCUUAACUCCGGGCGUGCAGGCGAUACGGGCAUAACUUGAGUACUGUAGGGGUAACUGGAAUUCCUGGUGUAGCGGUGAAAUGCGCAGAUAUCAGGAGGAACACCGAUGGCGAAGGCAGGUUACUGGGCAGUUACUGACGCUGAGGAGCGAAAGCAUGGGUAGCGAACAGGAUUAGAUACCCUGGUAGUCCAUGCCGUAAACGGUGGGCGCUAGGUGUGAGGGUCUUUUCACGACUUUCGUGCCGUAGCUAACGUAUUAAGCGCCCCGCCUGGGGAGUACGGCCGCAAGGCUAAAACUCAAUGAAUUGACGGAAGGGC
Molecule: ribosomal RNA, 895 nt
Filed under: uncultured bacterium
Lineage: Bacteria
Description: bacterial SSU rRNA
Rfam family: Bacterial small subunit ribosomal RNA
Source: RNAcentral